This 71-nucleotide transfer RNA is filed under the name Danionella translucida. It matches the Rfam family "tRNA". From Rfam's summary of the family: Transfer RNA (tRNA) molecules are approximately 80 nucleotides in length. Their secondary structure includes four short double-helical elements and three loops (D, anti-codon, and T loops). Further hydrogen bonds mediate the characteristic L-shaped molecular structure. tRNAs have two regions of fundamental functional importance: the anti-codon, which is responsible for specific mRNA codon recognition, and the 3' end, to which the tRNAs corresponding amino acid is attached (by aminoacyl-tRNA synthetases). tRNAs cope with the degeneracy of the genetic code in two manners: having more than one tRNA (with a specific anti-codon) for a particular amino acid; and 'wobble' base-pairing, i.e. permitting non-standard base-pairing at the 3rd anti-codon position. RNAcentral also lists the same sequence under 1 other name. The record is from Rfam by way of RNAcentral. Lineage: Eukaryota; Metazoa; Chordata; Actinopteri; Cypriniformes; Danionidae.
GCAUUGGUGGCUCAGUGGUAGAAUUCUCGCCUGCCACGCGGGAGACCUGGGUCCGAUUCCCGGCCAAUGCA